GCGCUAUCGGAGCGGCCGAUGUCAGAUUAGCUUGUUGGCGGGGUAAAAGCCCACCAAGGCGACGAUCUGUAGCUGGUCUGAGAGGACGACCAGCCACACUGGGACUGAGACACGGCCCAG
Molecule: ribosomal RNA, 120 nt
Filed under: uncultured bacterium
Lineage: Bacteria
Description: partial 16S ribosomal RNA
Rfam family: Bacterial small subunit ribosomal RNA
Source: RNAcentral